UACGUAGGGGGCAAGCGUUGUCCGGAUUUAUUGGGCGUAAAGAGCGUGUAGGCGGCCUGGUAGGUCAGUUGUGAAAACUCGAGGCUCAACCUCGAGACGCCGAUUGAAACCAUCAGGCUAGAGUCCGGAAGAGGAGAGUGGAAUUCCCGGUGUAGCGGUGAAAUGCGCAGAUAUCGGGAAGAACACCCGUGGCGAAAGCGGCUCUCUGGAACGGUACUGACGCUGAGACGCGAAAGCGUGGGGAGCGAACAGG
Molecule: ribosomal RNA, 253 nt
Filed under: uncultured bacterium
Lineage: Bacteria
Description: partial 16S ribosomal RNA
Rfam family: Bacterial small subunit ribosomal RNA
Source: RNAcentral